Molecule: ribosomal RNA, 301 nt
Filed under: uncultured bacterium
Lineage: Bacteria
Description: partial 16S ribosomal RNA
Rfam family: Bacterial small subunit ribosomal RNA
Source: RNAcentral
CAGUAGCCGCGGUAAAACGGAGGAUCCGAGCGUUAUCCGGAUUUAUUGGGUUUAAAGGGUGCGUAGGCGGCCUAUUAAGUCAGGGGUGAAAGACGGUAGCUUAACUAUCGCAGUGCCUUUGAUACUGAUGGGCUUGAAUGUACUUGAAGUGGGCGGAAUGUGACAAGUAGCGGUGAAAUGCAUAGAUAUGUCACAGAACACCGAUUGCGAAGGCAGCUCACUAAAGUAUGAUUGACGCUGAGGCACGAAAGCGUGGGGAUCAAACAGGAUUAGAUACCCGUGUAGUCCCUGUCUCUUAUAC